CAGUCGCCACGGGAAUACGUAGGUGGCAAGCGUUGUCCGGAAUUAUUGGGCGUAAAGGGCUCGCAGGCGGUUUCUUGAGUCUGAUGUGAAAGCCCCCGGCUCAACCGGGGAGGGUCAUUGGAAACUGGGAAACUUGAGUGCAGAAGAGGAGAGUGGAAUUCCACGUGUAGCGGUGAAAUGCGUAGAGAUGUGGAGGAACACCAGUGGCGAAGGCGACUCUCUGGUCUGUAACUGACGCUGAGGAGCGAAAGCGUGGGGAGCGAACAGGAUUAGAUACCCCCGUAGUCCCUGUCUCUUAUAC
RNAcentral lists this ribosomal RNA (301 nucleotides) under uncultured bacterium. RNAcentral's name for it is "partial 16S ribosomal RNA". It matches the Rfam family "Bacterial small subunit ribosomal RNA", at positions 509 to 807 of the family's 1533-position model. The record is from RNAcentral.